GAUGAACGCUGGCGGCGUGCCUAAUACAUGCAAGUCGAGCGAACAGAUAAGGAGCUUGCUCCUUUGACGUUAGCGGCGGACGGGUGAGUAACACGUGGGUAACCUACCUAUAAGACUGGAAUAACUCCGGGAAACCGGGGCUAAUGCCGGAUAACAUUUAGAACCGCAUGGUUCUAAAGUGAAAGAUGGUUUUGCUAUCACUUAUAGAUGGACCCGCGCCGUAUUAGCUAGUUGGUAAGGUAACGGCUUACCAAGGCAACGAUACGUAGCCGACCUGGGAGGGUGAUCGGCCACACUGGAACUGAGACACGGUCCAGACUCCUACGGGAGGCAGCAGUAGGGAAUCUUCCGCAACGGGCGAAAGCCUGACGGAGCAACGCCGCGUGAGUGAUGAAGGUCUUCGGAUCGUAAAACUCUGUUAUUAGGGAAGAACAAAUGUGUAAGUAACUGUGCACGUCUUGACGGUACCUAAUCAGAAAGCCACGGCUAACUACGUG
RNAcentral lists this ribosomal RNA (497 nucleotides) under uncultured bacterium. RNAcentral's name for it is "partial 16S ribosomal RNA". It matches the Rfam family "Bacterial small subunit ribosomal RNA", at positions 28 to 507 of the family's 1533-position model. The record is from RNAcentral.